Acanthosepion pharaonis is the source of this 104-nucleotide non-coding RNA. Lineage: Eukaryota; Metazoa; Mollusca; Cephalopoda; Sepiida; Sepiidae. The record is from the annotation of a GenBank genome assembly.
CAUCACGUUGAAGCACAGGUUCCUGUACGAUCACGGAAGUUAAACAAGGUCGGGCCUAGUCAGUAAAUAGAUGGGUGACCGUUUGAGAAUACCAGGUGCUGUAA